Molecule: long non-coding RNA, 3333 nt
Organism: Silurus meridionalis
Lineage: Eukaryota; Metazoa; Chordata; Actinopteri; Siluriformes; Siluridae
Exons: 3
Source: RefSeq, a predicted model, not a curated record
GAAUCUUGGAUAUUAAAGUCUAAAUAAAACAACAGAUCAACAGACGUCAAGUAUAUUUAUUUCCAGAGAAGUCAAAUAAAUGCACUUGCAUGUGUACACGGACUCUCUCACACAACAUACACACACUCCUACAAACUACUCACACAGGAUAGAAACAGUUCAGCAAAAAAAGCACAAUUUCAGCACUAGUUAAGAAAUGGAUGAUGUCUAAAGCCAAACAUCCUUCUGUAACAAACAGCUCAACAGAUCAACAUUUAUUUUAAGGGAAAAUCCAUCCCUUUAACUUCCUGUUUAAAUAAAAAGGGUACAAUUAAAAUGUUAUCAUUUUAGGAACAAUAUUUACAAUUUUUUCAAAGACGACAUGCUCGAUCUGUACAGCAUUGAUCGGGAACACACUUUUAGAACCACACACACACACACACACAGAGAAAGAGAGCUGGACUCUCAGAACAUUUGAUACGAUUGAUAAAUUUGCAUAUUCAGGAAGGUUCACAUGUACGGCACAAAGUGAUGUCUGAAACGCAAACAUGGCUGCGCUCUCCAUCCUCUCAACAAUCAGCUGCAUUCUAUUCAUUUUUAAUUGCAGCUUCAGGGAAAAAAAAACAAACAAACAAACACAACUCAAAAUUCAAAGGAUAAAAAGUCAGUUUUUCUUCAGUAUUUAUAUUUACAUAUUAGUGACUCAUUAUACUGUAGUAUAUCAUUUCAGACCACUAAAAUAAAUAAGGCAACCAAAAUGUACAAACACUCUGUAUUGCUGCUGUAGGUCUGUUAUAUCGCACAACAGCAUCCUGAUCACAAUCAGCUUUCAACAUCCAUCAAAUAUCUAUUAAAAUCACGUCCUCACACAAACAUCCCGGAACAUUCUAUAGAUAUGACUAAAAAUCACGACCUCAGGCGCUGUGCAGGUCACUACACCCGUGUGGAAAACUCCAGUGAUUGUGAUAUGAAGAAGCAUGUCUGUCGGUUUAAAACAUAUAAAGAGCAACAAAAAGCCUGAUUCAUUAACAACAAAAAGAAAUCCAGCCCUGACAGAAGACUUUUCAGGAAACUGUGGGAGUUUAGUGUCUGUUCUGAUUCUAUAUUGUGUGUGAAGAAACAGCAGGUAGCUCCAGGUCUGAAUUAUGAUCUCCACAUCACAUUUUACUCAGUCCCCAUGCAGGGAGCUGGAACAGUACUUUAUAAACUCAGGGUCAGGGUAUGAUGACCCUUUAGAGGAAUACGGAAAUCUGCAGGAACUAAAAUCACCCUGAAUUCAUUAAACAUACUGAGAUGUUCCUGAUCCAUCACUGAUGAGUGAAACAGUGUUCAUGAAUUAUUCCAGCUGAUUUUCACAAUAUUCUCUAUUUAUUACUUCUGAGGAAAGAAAUGUGUUUAACUGAAAGUCUCUGAUCAGAAGGUCAUGAGUUCAAGGGCCCAUAGGUGUAAUGAAUGUGUAAUGAAGGAGUAAUGAAGGUGUACUGAAGGUGUAAUGAAGGUGUAGGUGUAAUGAAGGUGUAGGUGUAAUGAAGGUGUACUGGAGGCGUACUGAAGGUGUAGGUGUACUGAAGGUGGAGGUAAUGAAGGUGUACUGGAGGCGUAAUGAAGGUGUAGGUGUAAUGAAGGUGUACUGGAGGCGUACUGAAGGUGUAGGUGUAAUGAAGGUGUACUGGAGCGUACUGAAGGUGUAGGUGUACUGAAGGUGGAGGUGUAAUGAAGGUGUGGGUGUAAUGAAGGUGUACUGGAAGCGUACUGAAGGGGUAGGUGUACUGAAGGUGGAGGUGUAAUGAAGGUGUACUGGAGGUGUAAUGAAGGUGUAGGUGAAAUGAAGGUGUACUGGAGGCGUACUGAAGGUGUAGGUGUACUGAAGGUGUACUGAAGGCGUAAUGAAGGUGUAGGUGUAAUGAAGGUGUACUGGAGGCGUACUGAAGGUGUAGGUGUACUGAAGGUGUAGGUGUAAUGAAGGUGUACUGUAGGAUUAAUGAAGGUGUAGGUGAAAUAAAGGUGGAGGUGUAAUGAAGGUGUACUGGAGGCGUAAUGAAGGUGGAGGUGUAAUGAAGGUGUACUGAAGGCGUAAUGAAGGUGGAGGUGUAAUGAAGGUGUACUGAAGGCGUAAUGAAGGUGGAGGUGUAAUGAAGGUGUACUGAAGGCGUAAUGAAGGUGGAGGUGUAAUGAAGGUGUAGGUGUAAUGAAGGUGUACUGAAGGCGUAAUGAAGGUGGAGGUGUAAUGAAGGUGUACUGAAGGCGUAAUGAAGGUGGAGGUGUAAUGAAGGUGGAGGUGUAAUGAAGGUGUACUGAAGGCGUAAUGAAGGUGUAGGUGUAAUGAAGGUGUACUGAAGGCGUAAUAAAGGUGGAGGUGUAAUGAAGGUGUACUGGAGGCGUAAUGAAGGUGGAGGUGUAAUGAAGGUGUACUGAAGGCGUAAUGAAGGUGGAGGUGUAAUGAAGGUGUACUGAAGGCGUAAUAAAGGUGGAGGUGUAAUGAAGGUGUACUGAAGGCGUAAUGAAGGUGGAGGUGUAAUGAAGGUGGAGGCGUAAUAAGAGUGUAGGUGUAAUAAGGCUGAAAAAAGCUUGCUAUUAAUUGGUGUGAAAAAAGAAAACCAGAACUACUUUUUCACAUGAAAGAAUGUGUUAUUUGUUGCAUCUUAAAAUCAUAAAAUCAAAUAAUAAAAUUAAUGGUGUUUUUUACUUUAUUGCUCCCGUGUUUUAACUCCCGGUAGUGAACUUUGCGUCUCACCUCUGUAUUAUAGAAACACAUUACUGUUUGAUGAUCAGAGUGGUGAAUUGACCUUAUACGCUUUUUUAAAUAAUUGAUUAUCCCUAAGUUUUGAUUCUUUUCUCUGUACAUGGAAAUGCCAACAUUCCUGUCCUGAAUAAACACCUUUCAUUUCAUUGCUCUGGCUGCUUAGGGGCAUGUUGUAGUAAAGCAGGUAAACCAGAAGAUCAGACUGGAUAAAAACACUGUAGAAUAAUAAAUCUAUCAUUUCUCUCGUGAUGUAGUGUACAAUAUAACCUCACCUGUAGCUCCUUCAAUCAAACGAGAACAAGCUUCCUCCAAACUCACGUUACAUACCAAACAUCUUCUCUGUUCACAGAAACACACUCAGAGAAUCACACAGUAGAAAAAGUAGAAAAUAAAUAAAUACAUGAAUGAGAGGAAUGUUAUUUAAAAAAAGGACAGUUAUUACUGUUCAUUGUGGUGCUGUGAGAAGACAAUGACGAGGGGAAUGAAGAGGAGGAAGAACAAUAAAGGGAGAAUGAUUGGAAGAUGAUAAGAAGAGAAAGAUGCAGUGUAUGUUGAUAAGGAUAAUAAGAGGGUAAUGAUGAGGAAGAUGAAGAGGAUGAAGAGGAUGAUGA